This 301-nucleotide ribosomal RNA is filed under the name uncultured bacterium. RNAcentral's name for it is "partial 16S ribosomal RNA". It matches the Rfam family "Bacterial small subunit ribosomal RNA", at positions 509 to 807 of the family's 1533-position model. The record is from RNAcentral.
CAGUCGCCGCGGUAAUACGAAGGGGGCUAGCGUUGCUCGGAAUUACUGGGCGUAAAGGGAGCGUAGGCGGAUGUUUAAGUCAGAGGUGAAAGCCCAGGGCUCAACCUUGGAACUGCCUUUGAUACUGGACAUCUUGAGUGUGGGAGAGGUAAGCGGAACUCCGAGUGUAGAGGUGAAAUUCGUAGAUAUUCGGAAGAACACCAGUGGCGAAGGCGGCUUACUGGCCCAUUACUGACGCUGAGGCUCGAAAGCGUGGGGAGCAAACAGGAUUAGAUACCCGUGUAGUCCCUGUCUCUUAUAC